Molecule: long non-coding RNA, 564 nt
Organism: Trachemys scripta elegans
Lineage: Eukaryota; Metazoa; Chordata; Testudines; Emydidae
Exons: 5
Source: RefSeq, a predicted model, not a curated record
GUUGGGUCCUGGGUUCUUUGUUGUGAAUACUCCAUCCAAGGUGACGACUCCCUAUAUCACAGGAAGCCAAAGGAAAGAUUCUAUCAGCACUGAUAAUGCCUCUGAAGGAGUAAGUCUGGUAUUGAAAGAGAAGCUUGGCUUGAAUGGGAUUCCACAGCAGUGUAAAUGCCUAUGUGUCUACACCUGCACAUCUGUUUGCAGAAUUGAGGCCUUUCUGUGAUUCAGCCAAGCACCCCAAAUCUGACUGCUGAUCCCAGCUCCCUUGAAAUGAUGAGUUGAGCUGUUGGAUGGUCUAAUAACAGGAGCCACCAAAUAGCCAUACAGAGACAAGUAAGAAUGAAGUCGGCCAAGGCUAUCCAAGACCCAGACUUGUGUACCUGUUCCUCUGUAGCCCUCCAACUAAAAGACCUGAACUGGAGAGAUAUUGAGGACCUACUGUUCCCAUCAAAGUCAGUCAGCCAGUGGAAAAGAACAACUUACCUGGAUUUUGCUGAGAUGAGCAUCACAGAGAAAGUCAAUACAAAAGAAGAAUGAAUCUUCCUGUCUUCUUGCAUAAGCUAGAUA